AGCACUUGUGUUUGUUUUUGUUCAAUUUGUGGGCAAAGACUACUUACAGGUGCAAAAAAUAAAUCCUCUUUUGAAACCAAGAACUCAUCAUUCAGUAUGAGUUUUGUUACAUGUAAGAAGGAACCUG
Molossus molossus (Pallas's mastiff bat) is the source of this 127-nucleotide small nucleolar RNA. RefSeq annotates it as small nucleolar RNA SNORA40. The record is from RefSeq and is a predicted model, not a curated record. NCBI's taxonomy places the organism in Eukaryota, Metazoa, Chordata, Mammalia, Chiroptera, Molossidae. The transcript has a single exon.